Molecule: ribosomal RNA, 557 nt
Filed under: Parabacteroides distasonis
Lineage: Bacteria; Pseudomonadati; Bacteroidota; Bacteroidia; Bacteroidales; Tannerellaceae
Description: bacterial SSU rRNA
Rfam family: Bacterial small subunit ribosomal RNA
Source: RNAcentral
AGUCGAGGGGCAGCACAGGUAGCAAUACCGGGUGGCGACCGGCGCACGGGUGAGUAACGCGUAUGCAACUUGCCUAUCAGAGGGGGAUAACCCGGCGAAAGUCGGACUAAUACCGCAUGAAGCAGGGGCCCCGCAUGGGGAUAUUUGCUAAAGAUUCAUCGCUGAUAGAUAGGCAUGCGUUCCAUUAGGCAGUUGGCGGGGUAACGGCCCACCAAACCGACGAUGGAUAGGGGUUCUGAGAGGAAGGUCCCCCACAUUGGUACUGAGACACGGACCAAACUCCUACGGGAGGCAGCAGUGAGGAAUAUUGGUCAAUGGGCGAGAGGCUGAACCAGCCAAGUCGCGUGAGGGAUGAAGGUUCUAUGGAUCGUAAACCUCUUUUAUAAGGGAAUAAAGUGCGGGACGUGUCCCGUUUUGUAUGUACCUUAUGAAUAAGGAUCGGCUAACUCCGUGCCAGCAGCCGCGGUAAUACGGAGGAUCCGAGCGUUAUCCGGAUUUAUUGGGUUUAAAGGGUGCGUAGGCGGCCUUUUAAGUCAGCGGUGAAAGUCUGUGGCUCA